RNAcentral lists this ribosomal RNA (359 nucleotides) under uncultured bacterium. RNAcentral describes it as "partial 16S ribosomal RNA". It matches the Rfam family "Bacterial small subunit ribosomal RNA", at positions 338 to 695 of the family's 1533-position model. The record is from RNAcentral.
CCUACGGGAGGCUGCAGUGAGGAAUAUUGGUCAAUGGUCGGGAGACUGAACCAGCCAAGCCGCGUGAGGGAGGAAGGUACAGAGUAUCGUACACCUCUUUUGUCAGGGAACAAAGACUGGGACGCGUCCCCGGAUGAGUGUACCUGAAGAAACAGCAUCGGCUAACUCCGGGCCAGCAGCCGCGGUAAUACGGGGGAUGCGAGCGUUAUCCGGAUUUAUUGGGUUUAAAGGGUGCGCAGGCGGACUGUUAAGUCAGCGGUCAAAGCCCAGGGCCCAACCCCGGACCGCCGUGGAAACUGGCAGUGUCGAGGUGGAGAGAGGUAUGCGGAAUGCGCGGUGUAGCGGUGAAAUGCAUAGAU